This 441-nucleotide ribosomal RNA is filed under the name uncultured bacterium. RNAcentral describes it as "partial 16S ribosomal RNA". It matches the Rfam family "Bacterial small subunit ribosomal RNA", at positions 338 to 795 of the family's 1533-position model. The record is from RNAcentral.
UCUACGGGAGGCAGCAGUCGGGAAUAUUGCGCAAUGGAGGAAACUCUGACGCAGUGACGCCGCGUGCAGGAAGAAGGUUUUCUGAUUGUAAACUGCUUUAGACAGGGAAGAAAAACGACAGUACCGGUAGACUAAGCUCCUGCUAACUACGUGCCAGCAGCCGAGGUAAUACGUAGGGAGCAAGCGUUAUCCGGAUUUAUUGGGUGUAAAGGGUGCGUAGACGGGGAAGGAAGGUAGGUGUGAAAUCCCUCGGGUUAACUGAGGAACUGCAACUAAAACUACUUCCCGUGAGUACUGGAGAGGAAAGUGGAAUUCCUAGUGUAGCGGUGAAAUGCGUAGAUAUUAGGAGGAACACCAGUGGCGAAGGCGACUUUCUGGACAGUAACUGACGUUGAGGCACGAAAGUGUGGGGAGCAAACAGGAUUAGAUACCCGUGUAGUC